Molecule: ribosomal RNA, 774 nt
Filed under: uncultured Streptococcus sp.
Lineage: Bacteria; Bacillati; Bacillota; Bacilli; Lactobacillales; Streptococcaceae
Description: bacterial SSU rRNA
Rfam family: Bacterial small subunit ribosomal RNA
Source: RNAcentral
GACGAACGCAGGCGGCGUGCCUAAUACAUGCAAGUAGAACGCACAGGAUGCACCGUAGUUUACUACACCGUAUUCUGUGAGUUGCGAACGGGUGAGUAACGCGUAGGUAACCUGCCUGGUAGCGGGGGAUAACUAUUGGAAACGAUAGCUAAUACCGUAUAAGAACAUUUACUGCAUGGUAGAUGUUUAAAAGGUGCAAGAGCAUCACUACCAGAUGGACCUGCGUUGUAUUAGCUAGUUGGUGAGGUAACGGCUCACCAAGGCAACGAUACAUAGCCGACCUGAGAGGGUGAUCGGCCACACUGGGACUGAGACACGGCCCAGACUCCUACGGGAGGCAGCAGUAGGGAAUCUUCGGCAAUGGGGGGGAACCCUGACCGAGCAACGCCGCGUGAGUGAAGAAGGUUUUCGGAUCGUAAAGCUCUGUUGUUAAGGAAGAACGUGUGUGAGAGUGGAAAGUUCACACAGUGACGGUACUUAACCAGAAAGGGACGGCUAACUACGUGCCAGCAGCCGCGGUAAUACGUAGGUCCCGAGCGUUGUCCGGAUUUAUUGGGCGUAAAGCGAGCGCAGGCGGUUAGAUAAGUCUGAAGUGAAAGGCAGUGGCUCAACCAUUGUAGGCUUUGGAAACUGUUUAACUUGAGUGCAGAAGGGGAGAGUGGAAUUCCAUGUGUAGCGGUGAAAUGCGUAGAUAUAUGGAGGAGCACCGGUGGCGAAAGCGGCUCUCUGGUCUGUAACUGACGCUGAGGCUCGAAAGCGUGGGGAGCGAACAGG